AAGGAAUUAGUUUAAAUAAAACAUUAACUUGUCAAGUUAAAGAUAUUAAUUUAUAAUAUACCUUA
RNAcentral lists this transfer RNA (65 nucleotides) under Euschistus heros (neotropical brown stinkbug). RNAcentral's name for it is "tRNA-Asp". It matches the Rfam family "tRNA". From Rfam's summary of the family: Transfer RNA (tRNA) molecules are approximately 80 nucleotides in length. Their secondary structure includes four short double-helical elements and three loops (D, anti-codon, and T loops). Further hydrogen bonds mediate the characteristic L-shaped molecular structure. tRNAs have two regions of fundamental functional importance: the anti-codon, which is responsible for specific mRNA codon recognition, and the 3' end, to which the tRNAs corresponding amino acid is attached (by aminoacyl-tRNA synthetases). tRNAs cope with the degeneracy of the genetic code in two manners: having more than one tRNA (with a specific anti-codon) for a particular amino acid; and 'wobble' base-pairing, i.e. permitting non-standard base-pairing at the 3rd anti-codon position. Lineage: Eukaryota; Metazoa; Arthropoda; Insecta; Hemiptera; Pentatomidae. The record is from RNAcentral.